This 441-nucleotide ribosomal RNA is filed under the name uncultured bacterium. RNAcentral describes it as "partial 16S ribosomal RNA". It matches the Rfam family "Bacterial small subunit ribosomal RNA", at positions 338 to 795 of the family's 1533-position model. The record is from RNAcentral.
CCUACGGGUGGCAGCAGUGGGGGAUAUUGCACAAUGGGGGGAACCCUGAUGCAGCGACGCCGCGUGGGUGAAGGAGCGUUUCGGCGCGUAAAGCCCUAUCGGUAGGGAAGAAGAAGGACGGUACCUGACUAAGAAGCCCCGGCUAACUACGUGCCAGCAGCCGCGGUAAUACGGAGGGGGCAAGCGUUAUCCGGAUUUACGGGGUGUAAGGGGGGCGCAGGCGGCAGCGCAAGCCAGGUGUGAAAGCCCGGGGCCCAACCCCGGGACUGCUCUUGAAACUGCGCGGCUGGAGUGCGGGAGAGGCAGGCGGAAUUCCUGGUGUAGGGGUGAAAUGCGUAGAUAUCAGGAGGAACACCGAUGGCGAAGGCGGCCUGCUGGACUCCGACUGACGUUGAGGCCCGAAAGCGUGGGGAGCAAACAGGAUUAGAUACCCGGGUAGUC